Molecule: long non-coding RNA, 942 nt
Filed under: Microcebus murinus (gray mouse lemur)
Lineage: Eukaryota; Metazoa; Chordata; Mammalia; Primates; Cheirogaleidae
Description: lncRNA (ENSMICG00000048289.1)
Source: RNAcentral
CAGGAGACUACUUCACAUAGCAGUCUGAGUUUCACAAGAUGCACAGGAAAUUGUCAAACUAGUAGAGGAAAACAUUUCAGAUAUAAAUAAGGAGCAGGGUGUACACUAAUAAUGCGGUAGAAAGUAACAGUAAUUUUGGAAACCAUGAAUAACACACUUUGCAUGUUAUUUAAAAAGUACCAUAAUGAAGUAGGAAAUAGUAUGCAUGCUUAAUUUAUAUGAUUAUACUGUAUUUUUACCUUUUGUUUUGUUUGUGGUGGUUUUGUCCAUUUAUGUUGGGUAGAUGAAUUUGUAAGUGAACCUUGGAGAUGUUUGCUUGCCUUAAACCUGAUGACCUCUAGUGUCUCCCCAAGUGGUUUGUUGAGAUUUUGGAUAAUUAGAAACAUUUCUUCAUUUAAACUUUCCAUUUAUAAAAUAAAAUAAAUUUUAUUUUAGAUCUACUUUAAUGAAGACUAUAGCUUGUAUCUAACUGUUCUAAGUAGUUCAUUUAAACUAGAGAUAUGGAUUUGUCAGCAGAACAAGAUAUAGAAUUGACACUAGAGGAAGAGCAACAAAGCCUUGAAGGGAGUGCAAAUAACCAGCCAGAGGCUGAAGGAGGGAAGCAGCAUGAAAGUAAUGAGGUGGAAACAUUAGAAAGUCUACAUGAUGGUGACGCUGAUGACAGUGAUGGUGAUGGAUCAAUUCCACAAAGAAAGAGUCAAACAAUUGAUAAUCAGCAUCUUGCUGAAAAGGACAAUGAAGAGUCUGAUAGUAAUGGUCCUGCCUUGCAUAUGAAAGAAGUAAAGAAAAAUGAAAGUAAACAACAGACAUCAGAAGAAUCUGCAGUGACACCAGUGUUUGAGAAGGCCAGUGUACCAACUGGUGGUCUGCUACCAAUGAAUGAUGUCAGCAGUUUAAGUGACAUAAAUGACAAGGACAGACGGUAAAAUCUUUAAGUUCUUU